Long non-coding RNA from Salvia splendens (bonfire salvia), 1624 nucleotides. RefSeq lists it as uncharacterized. The record is from RefSeq and is a predicted model, not a curated record. The transcript has 3 exons. Lineage: Eukaryota; Viridiplantae; Streptophyta; Magnoliopsida; Lamiales; Lamiaceae.
UAAUCUCUUCCGGUUGCCUUUUCCAAAUCAAUCAAGCAAAUAAAGAGAGUAAUUCUGGAUGAAGAAAGUAAAAUCAAUUUUGGGCUAGCCAGAAUUAUUAAGAGAGCAAAUUAAUGGAGGCAAAAUUUUCACCUUUUCCGAACCCUAAUCUCAAACCCUGCGAUUAAUGCGUUCUGUUCAAUCCAUUUCAAAGACGUUUUUGGUGAAGUUCGAUCUGCAAUGGCGCAUAAUAUUGCACGCAAGAAGUGGAGCGCAUGCAGUAUUCGCUUUAACAAGAGAAGCCACUGUUCGUGUAUCAUGAGAGGCUAGCAAAUUGCAGUUACAACCUAUAAGUUGCUUUAGGGUGGAGAGAGCUGCAAAGAAAGUGAGGUAAGCAGCCUUACUAUAAGGUAAUGUAUUUCGAAUUUUAACUAAUUACUGUAGAUUUUGGACCUAGUAAUGCCAAAUGUUCUCAUGUAAUCUUUAGCAUGAGCUGAUUGAAUAAGAUCAACUGGUAAAUCAAUGAAUUUUAAUGGAUAGAGCUCUUAAAUUUUGCACUCCUAAAACGUAGGUGCUUAGAGAAUUUUGCUCUUUCAUAUCAUAUGUAUACCUUGAUUGUAGCUAAGUUCAUCUUGCAUAAUUUGCAUCCCAUUUACUUAGUUUAGGCAUCUUUUGGUUCUUUGUGGAAAGAUGUGGAUGGAAAACAUUGUUCUAAGAGGUCUUUUAGAAUGAAGAUAAGUUCUAAGAGCCAAUUUUUGUUAAAAAUCAUGCAGGGGUGGGUAGUAGGACGUAAUUUUUGAUAAAUUAAGUUAGUACAGUGAAAAUCAAGGCCGUGGUAUUUCAGCAUUUUGGCAAUUAGUAUUUCCCUAAUAUCUGAUGAAUCAAAUCUAUGAAAUAAAAAUUAUCUACACACUUUUUGUUUCAUCAUUCACAUAACCAAGGUUUGUAAGAUAUAAGCAUUCCUAACAUAAAUGAUCAUCAAAAUGUAAUUUGAUGUAACGGAUCAGGUGUUGCUGAUUUAGAAACUAAUAUUGUGCUAAUGUCUACAAUUGCAGGCUAAUUGUAUUUAGAAACUAGUACUAUUUAUAUCAUGGUCCAUAUUUUGGUGUGGCCUAAUUGCCCGAUUUCUCAUUUAGUGCUAAACGGUAAGUAUUGUUCUCAUUUAGCUAGCGUUUUGAUUGAAGUUCAUUAAUCAUCAAUUAGGUUUCUCAUUAUUGAAAUAUGGUUCAUUAAUCAUCAAUUAGGUUUCUCAUUAUUGAAAUAUGGUUUAUUAAUUACACAAUUAGGAGUGUGCCUCAUUUAAUUACAAGAAAUGAGAUGGAGUGUUAAUGAUCUACAGGUAUUAAAUUACUCAUAGUAAUGUUGGGGUUGUUUUAAUGUUUAUUAUGCAUAACUGGCAGAUGUAGAAGGCAUAUUUUUGUUAUUUAUAUGCCUGCCUAAUGCAAUAAUGAACAGGGUGGAGCCUUUCAAAUUUUACUAUUAUGGUGUGCCAAAAAUGGGAAAUUUUUAAUUUCUAAAACAUAUGGAAUUUCAAACUCUGUUUAUACUUUGGUUUUGUAAUUUCACUUUUUUCUUAUGAGAUAUGCUUUGUUAUUGUUGCUAUUGUUAUUAUUUGACCAUAUAUGAUAUUUUUAUCAUUUCACAA